GAUUCUUCUUCGACGUUCCCAGUUUCGCCGUGUUUUUGGCUGUUAAGUGCUUGUUGAUCGUAGAUACCGUCGGAGAGUUCCUACAAUAAUGGAAUAAAAUGGUCCUCGUUAAAGUGAAAAUUCAUCGAUUGAAAUGUAUUGUAAGUGGUCCUUGAAUCGUUCUCCUGCGCAAUUGAAUUAGGAUUGUUGACAGUUUAACAGUAUUAAUAAGUUCUCUGGCAUAGCAAUGACAGGUUUGACAAUGUGUAUAGUGGAGAGAAAAAAUUUACAAUGGAGAUAAAACUCCAUGUGAAGUUUCCAGAUUUUUGCAAUUGACUUUCUCGCUGUUAGAAGAAAAAAAAAAAAAGAACCAAAGAAAGUAUCGAUGUUCUGAUCAGAAAAGCGAUGCUCUGCACUGUAUGUAUGUACAGACAGGCUGUACCAGUCAUCGAGGCACGAGCUAGUGGGCGAGGCCCGAGCGUCUGACCCAAUUUGUUCCAAGUAGAAGUAGAAAAUCACGAAGAAGUCCUAGAAAUGAAACUCGUGGCUUCGCUCAGUGAACAAACGAGAGUAAAAAAAAUCGAUUGAUUUUGAUAAAAAUACCAAUCCUGGUAAAACUCGUUCGGAUGAUUAAUGUUCAAACCUAUUAGGUUUGAUAAAAUCGUCUGAAAAUACUUCCAGCAGUGGAAAUGCUGAAUUUUGACGUUUUGUAGAUCAUGAUUUAUAUUCUUUCAGAAUAUUAUGAAGAAGAACACAGAAAUUGAACAGUUAUUUUCACAGACAAGUGAAGCAAUCAUCUUUGGGGAAUUACCUGUAGAAUCCUUGUUAAUAGCAAGUGAUUCUUUAGGAAAUUUUCUCAAACGAAGAAACUGUAGUAAAUUCAAAAGAGUGGCGAAUAAAAACUUGUGUAGUAGAACGAAUCCAUUCAUGGAUUAAUUGCACAUUAAAUUUUCCUCAAAAUGAUCAGUGAAAAUUUAGUUAUAGAAUUUUCUAAGUAACUCAAUAGGAGACACUGAAGUUCCCAUCUUUUGCACAUCCGAUGUUUCUUUAGGAAUGUUUGUUCGCAAAGAGCUCAAAAGGAAAUUGUGAAAUUACGUAAUUCGAACGUUUCUAAAGAGACAUCUGUUAUAUUUGAGAAGCCUCUGGAGAAUUCCUGAAGUAUCAAAGAUAUUCAUUUUCAAUAAACUAAUAAACAGUAAGAAACGAACAUUUCUCAAAGUGAUCUUUUCUUCACAAAGGAAGCGAACUGUAAGAUAAACUUUUGCAGAAGCAAUCUGUAAUAAAUCACAGAAGCCGUAACGGACCACGAGAUAUACAAAUUUUGCUUAAGUGGAGUAUCGUCUCGAGCAAGAGGAGGUUGAAAAUAACGCAUCUGGCCUGACGAGAUGAGAGAAAGGUGGACGUUACGGUACCAACUACCGGUCUCCCUUUCUCCAGUGCCAUUCGAGCGAGAAGAAAGGCAAAACGGGAAAAGAUGCACGCCGCAUUCUUGCAGCUCGCGCAAAAGAAAAACCAGUGAGAGUCGUGCGCACCCGCUCUGGAUCUUAUUAAAAGCAAACUGUUUCGGCCAGCCUCGCGUCGAAACGCUCUUCCGACAAAUGGAAGCUCUCAGCUUCUUUUCUCUGCUAUCUCUCAGUCCCUUUCUUCAUUUCGUUAUUCGUUGAUUACAAAAUACUAUACCCUGAAAUAUAAUCGAUUAGUAUACACCAUUUUUACUUUGCUUCUUAUACUUGGUAAAGCUCAAUGAAAUUUAGAUUGAUGGUAGAUUGAUAGUACAAUUUUCUUACAAAAUUCCUAUCAGAAUGAAGUGAUCUAGCAAAGUUAUUAGACUCACCUUUUAAUAAUAUCUGUCGCAUAAUAUGUCACUAUUUAUAGUAUGCUAACCAAUAUGUACAAAAGUAUUUAACUUGUUCAUGGCGUUCGAUACAUUUCAAUGAGCUCUCUGGAGAACUGGUCCGAUAAUUGUUAGAAAUAAACGCUGGAGAAAUUCGCGUCGUGGCUUGAGAACUGUUCGAAGUUUUUCUCCCUAAAAGGGGAGUCCCCGAGUCAACGAUGUUUUCACUUGUUCUGGAUUUUUCAGAAUAUUGGGAGUGGAUCGUCGUUUUGCAAGAUGAAACCAGUAUCGGUUGCAAGGAGAAAUCACUGGCUGAGACUACAAAAGAGAGGUUUACACCUCUGCCGCUAACUGGCAACAAUUCUGCUGAAAAAAAGUGAAAAUAUUUUGCAACUCAAACACAAAUGGCUCAGAGAAAAUUGAUACCAAGUUCCCUUUCAUCUGAGAUUGGAGAAGAAGUAUUUUUAAAUUAGUAACGUGUCCAAAAUUGCCUCUUUCUUGGGACACAAAGAUCAAGAAAGGACAACGCUUUCACUGUUUUGUGGCUUGUUGAAAUAAAAUGUAACGUUGACAGAAUGUCCUUGUCCUUGGCCUCUGUUCAACUAUUGUUGAACUUCUUAUGGAAACUAAAUUUAGUAAAAAUAUCUUCAGGAGUUCUGUUUCCUAGUGGAAAAUGAUUGAAUGGAGCUUGGAUUUGCUAGGAGAAAAGUUGCUAUUAGAAUGUUGAAUCACUGGUGAAAACUUCUUGAGAGGAAGAAACUGAACGGUUUAAAUUAGAGUGAAGUACAAAUUGAAGCAGUGAGCAUAUAAACAAAGUUGCUGCAUCGCGUUGGCGAGGAAGAGAAGAGAAAGAGAAAGAGAAAGGGAACUGCCGGAAUUGUUUACGUCGAAUUUUUGACAGUAGGUGGGUCAACACCGAGCCAGCUUUCAUCUGAAAGUACCUGGAGAAAGUAUUCGCACUUUUUGUGCGAGGAAAUUCUCUUAUCAAUUAGCCCAAGAUUCUAAAAGGAAAACAAAAAUGAGAGAAUGAAAAUGAGACGAAGAUAUGAGAAUAGAACAAAUGCGUUGUUGCAUUUUUUUUUUCUUUUUUUUCUUUCUCAGAUGUUAAUCGGAGAAUACUUUGCAUAUACCGCUCCGACUGUAAUUGAUGCAAUUACGAUUUCUAGUAAUUAACGGCGAAGCAAUGCCUUCCUUUUCUUAUGAACCACGUCAGAUUGCAGAGCCCAGUUACAAAAUGUUGCGUUUCACGUCGGGAGAGGCUACUGCAGAAGUGCCUCGCGGAAUUACGCUCGAAGAGAAAGUCGAAUAACUACGAGAUAAAUCCCGCCCUUAUCCCAGGAAUUCGCUGUAUGUCAGCAGUUCAACCGGAGAGAGAAGAGAAAGCGCAGUGUCGUAGAAUUUUAGAAGAGGAAUUCGUAGAGCGAGCAAAUUAAAAAAGAACAAAGAUGGUAAAUUGAUGUUCAAUCCAAAUAGCGUUGGAAUUAAGUCUUCACUAUGAAAAUCCACGAAUCGGGGCUUCAAACUUCAGAGAGUUCUGUUCUGUAACAAAAUUGACAAUACAAACUCGAUUAUACUUGUUGCCAAUAGGCAAAGAGGAGGGAUUGUAAGCACUCGCCGCUCGUUUCUCGAAGCGUGUAAUGACACGGGUAAGCGUUUCUGAGUAGACGCACUCAGGGGGGAAAGUGCAAGCUGUUGCACUUUGUUAGACGGACUUGUCGGAAGAGAAUGAGACGCGAGUGAAAUGACCUAGGCAGCAUGCGAAGGUUAAGGACGACUUUCACCUAAAACUUGCGGAUGAAGGCUGGCUGGAAGGCCAUUCGUCUCUUCUCUUUUAAAAAAUAUUGCUAAGAACAAAGGAGGAAUCAAAGUGAAAUAUAAGACAUGAUCUCUAGAUAGAUCAUUUUACAGCUCUGAUGCCAAAAAGAAAAAUGAAGCAAUACACUAACAAACAAUAUGUGAUUUAGGCAAAAAGACCGCAGCUGUAGUAGAUGAUAAUGAAGAACAGAAUCGUAAUUCUGAAACGACAAAUUUCAUCUCACACUGGGCAAUGAGAGUCUGAAAGAGAUUCCGUACACGAGAAUUAAUUGAAGAAGGCAUCACGAGGCAGUCGUAGAAGCAUGUCCGAGGCGGGUGUACACGUCGAGACAGUACACGAAGUAGCACUCGAAUGACGCCCGCAAGUAGAUCGAGGUUAAAGAUUUCUAUGCCCGAAGGUUAAGGAUGUCCCCGCAUGGUGUCUAUCGGUCCACCACGGGGUUUACACGUGAAAGGUUUCCCUCUGUCGAUUUACGUAAGGCAACGAAACUUGUUCUCCAUUGUUUUGUCCCCGGCGUCGAAAGUAAUUUCCGCUCUGUUCCCCCCCGGUUGCAUUUUCAAGGACAAAGCGAGCUCUUCCUCACUUGGGCGGAACUUGGGCUAGGUUAUGGAAAUACCACUAGCGAAUUCCGAGAAAAAUACGUACGUCAAUGACGAACAAUCCUCGUUUCCUUCUUUCAGGAAGUAUCCUGCACUUCUUCAAUUUAAUUUGGAACAACGCAGUUAAAUACACAGUGAACGUUUUUCGGAAGAUACUGUAUCAGUAACAGAGAGUUCUUAUUGUUUUCUUCAUUGAAAAAUACCUAAAAAAAGAGUAAUAUAUUCUUAUUCUUUGGAAGAUGUUCUUUGAAAUCUAUGUAAAUGAGUCUGUAUCAGUAACAAGGAAUUCUUAUUUCCUUGAUUGAAAAAUAUCUAAAAGAAGAGUGAUGUAUUUUUAUUCUUUGCAAGAUGUUCUUUCAAAUCUAUAGAAAUGAUUCUGUAUCAGUAACAGAGAAUUCUUAUUUCCUUGAUUGAAAAAUACCUAAAAUACCUAAAAGAAGAGUGAUAUAUUUUUAUUCUUUGGAAGAUGUUCUUUGAAAUCUAUGUAAAUAAUUCUGCAUCAGUAACAGAGAAUUUUUAUUUCCUUCAUUGAAAAAUAUUUAAAAGAAGAGUGAUAUAUUUUUAUUCUUUGCAAGAUGUUCUUUCAAAUCUAUAGAAAUGAUUCUGUAUCAGUAACAGAGAAUUUUUAUUUCCUUCAUUGAAAAAUACCUAAAAGAAGAGUGAUAUAUUUUUAUUCUUUGCAAGAUGUUCUUUCAAAUCUAUAGAAAUGAUUCUGUAUCAGUAACAGAGAAUUUUUAUUUCCUUCAUUGAAAAAUACCUAAAAGAAGAGUGAUAUAUUUUUAUUCUUUGCAAGAUGUUCUUUCAAAUCUAUAGAAAUGAUUCUGUAUCAGUAACAGAGAAUUUUUAUUUCCUUCAUUGAAAAAUACCUAAAAGAAGAGUGAUAUAUUUUUAUUAUUUGAAAUCUAUAUAAAUGAUUCUGUACCAGUAACAGGAAAUUCUUAUUUCCUUGAUUGAAAAAUACCUAAAAGAAGAGUGAUAUACUUUUAUUC
Molecule: long non-coding RNA, 5217 nt
Organism: Frieseomelitta varia
Lineage: Eukaryota; Metazoa; Arthropoda; Insecta; Hymenoptera; Apidae
Exons: 6
Source: RefSeq, a predicted model, not a curated record